This 1388-nucleotide ribosomal RNA is filed under the name uncultured beta proteobacterium. Its description in RNAcentral is "16S ribosomal RNA". It matches the Rfam family "Bacterial small subunit ribosomal RNA", at positions 1 to 1378 of the family's 1533-position model. The record is from RNAcentral. Lineage: Bacteria; Pseudomonadati; Pseudomonadota; Betaproteobacteria.
UAGAGUUUGAUCCUGGCUCAGAUUGAACGCUGGCGGAAUGCUUUACACAUGCAAGUCGAACGGCAGCACGGGAGCUUGCUCCUGGUGGCGAGUGGCGAACGGGUGAGUAAUGUAUCGGAACGUACCCCGUCGUGGGGGAUAACUCUCCGAAAGGAGAGCUAAUACCGCAUACGACCCGAGGGUGAAAGCGGGGGACCUGGGGUAACCUGGGCCUCGCGCGAUGGGAGCGGCCGAUAUCGGAUUAGCUAGUUGGUGGGGUAAAGGCCUACCAAGGCGACGAUCCGUAGCGGGUCUGAGAGGACGACCCGCCACACUGGAACUGAGACACGGUCCAGACUCCUACGGGAGGCAGCAGUGGGGAAUUUUGGACAAUGGGCGCAAGCCUGAUCCAGCCAUUCCGCGUGAGUGAAGAAGGCCUUCGGGUUGUAAAGCUCUUUCAGCAGGAACGAAACGGUGGGUCUUAAUACGGCCUGCUAAUGACGGUACCUGCAGAAGAAGCACCGGCUAACUACGUGCCAGCAGCCGCGGUAAUACGUAGGGUGCGAGCGUUAAUCGGAAUUACUGGGCGUAAAGCGUGCGCAGGCGGCGACAUAAGACAGAUGUGAAAUCCCCGGGCUCAACCUGGGAACGGCGUUUGUGACUGUGUGGCUAGAGUGUAGCAGAGGGGGGUGGAAUUCCACGUGUAGCAGUGAAAUGCGUAGAGAUGUGGAGGAACACCGAUGGCGAAGGCAGCCCCCUGGGUUAACACUGACGCUCAUGCACGAAAGCGUGGGGGAGCAAACAGGAUUAGAUACCCUGGUAGUCCACGCCCUAAACGAUGCCAACUAGGUGUUGGGGGAGGAGACUUCCUUAGUACCGUAGCUAACGCGUGAAGUUGGCCGCCUGGGGAGUACGGUCGCAAGAUUAAAACUCAAAGGAAUUGACGGGGACCCGCACAAGCGGUGGAUGAUGUGGAUUAAUUCGAUGCAACGCGAAAAACCUUACCUACCCUUGACAUGUCCGGAAUCCCGAAGAGAUUUGGGAGUGCUCGAAAGAGAGCCGGAACACAGGUGCUGCAUGGCUGUCGUCAGCUCGUGUCGUGAGAUGUUGGGUUAAGUCCCGCAACGAGCGCAACCCUUAUCAUUAGUUGCCAUCAUUGAGUUGGGCACUCUAAUGAGACUGCCGGUGACAAACCGGAGGAAGGUGGGGAUGACGUCAAGUCCUCAUGGCCCUUAUGGGUAGGGCUUCACACGUCAUACAAUGGUCGGUACAGAGGGUUGCCAACCCGCGAGGGGGAGCUAAUCUCACAAAGCCGAUCGUAGUCCGGAUCGCAGUCUGCAACUCGACUGCGUGAAGUCGGAAUCGCUAGUAAUCGUGGAUCAGCAUGUCACGGUGAAUACGUUCCCGGG